RNAcentral lists this long non-coding RNA (247 nucleotides) under Mytilus galloprovincialis (Mediterranean mussel). The record is from RNAcentral. Lineage: Eukaryota; Metazoa; Mollusca; Bivalvia; Mytilida; Mytilidae.
UUUAUUUAAAGAAUUGCUAUAUUUUAUUUAUAAACAGGUUGUGGGUGACAAUUUAAGGCUAGGACAGUUUAUUUUUAUUUAGGAUUACUGACAUUUUACAAUUGUAAACGUGUAUUAAUAAUGAAAACAGUGUGUAUUGGGCCAAGAAAACCUUGAAGAGGAGCGAACGGAGAAAGAAGAGAAGUGGUCAUUGAGAUGACCAUAAGACAGGAUGACCAAAGGCGAUCUUGGUCAGAUAUUGAAGACU